Long non-coding RNA from Ictalurus punctatus (channel catfish), 531 nucleotides. The record is from Ensembl. NCBI's taxonomy places the organism in Eukaryota, Metazoa, Chordata, Actinopteri, Siluriformes, Ictaluridae.
CACCUCCAUUGCGUGUGCGUGCCGGUGUUGUGACAGAACACUCAGUAGAAGUGCUGUGGGAUCGAGCACAAGGCCACGAGCACACGUAUGAAGUGCUUUGUAUGGGCUGUACUGACACUGUCAUGGUGCAGAAGGUGUCACAGACUCGGGCGGUAUUUCAUGGUGUGAUCGCUGGAAAGCUGUGUAACAUCUCAGUGCGCACAGAGAAGGAGUCUUUCAGAGACAGUGCACCUGUUUUCCUCACCAUCAGAGCUUUCCCUAGCUCGGUCACGUUACUGCUAGUGCGGAGGACGGCAUCGUCUGUGUGUGUGAGCUGGAGCGAUGGACCAGGAGUGUGUAACGCUUUCAUCCUGUCUAUCCGAAACUCCACCUACAACCUGCAGAUGAGGCUCAGGGUCUCUGAUGAGAGACAGUAUAACUUUGACCAUCUUCCUCCUGGGACUGUUUACACUGUCGAGGUGAUUAGUGUGAGUGGAGAGAGACACAGUUUUCCCACUGCACUUACUGUUAACACGUGUGAGUACAAAUAUC